GAGUUUAUUGAUUUUGAGCACCGCCCUGGGCCCUCUCAGGUUCUCAGCUUCGUGAGCCUUUGGUUCCAGCAGACCAGUCUGACUAUACAGCCUCUUAGGCUUUAAGCGAGUCUGUGGAGCGUAGAUUCCAAAGCCAACAAUAUCAGCCUGCAAGCUCUCAGGCUAGACAGAUCUUUGAGUAGUCUGAGGAGCGUAGAGUCCAAAGCCAACAAUCUCAGCCUGCAAGCUCUCAGGCUAGACGGAUCUCUGAGCAGUCUGUUCCGCGGCGACGUCGUCGUCGGCGUCAAGAAAUUACUGAACUAGAAGAUCCGUCUUUGCGCAAGGCAACGGAGAGAUUGGAGGCCUUGGAGCAAGCAAGUGCGCAAGCCACUCCAGAGCACGCACAAGCCAGAAAUAGGCUAGCUGUUUUCAUUAGCAGAAAGAUCUUGAGCAGAGGAACUUAAGUUUUGUUUGUAAAACGACUGUCCAGUACUGCCAUCAAAACCCCAAGAUCCUUCGAAAACGCAUUUUAAUUAUUUUAUACCUUUACGAUCGCAAAAUUCAGUAAAACUUUCUUCGCAUCUAUGUAGAAUUCGCUUUAGUGUAUGUGUCAGCAACCCUUCUAAUGAAACUGAUGCUUCUAUAUCAGACACUAUAAUUUCUUCAUUUGGGUAACAAGCUUUCCUUGCAUUCAGAACUUGUGCGUAAGGUGGAUAAACAUCAUAUCCCCGACUUUUGAGAUCUUGUUGUCUUUCUUUAUAAGUCUAUACACUAAAUUGUCUGUCUAUCAUAAUACUCAAAGCUUCAUCCGGGGUGUAGGGUCGCUGUUCUGAUGCUGAUUUUAAUUUAUUACAAAUCUCUGUAGCUUUAGAUGGAAAUUCAAGACAUACUUUAAUUAAUGAUUCUAAAUCUUUAGCAGCUUUAGAGGUCAACUGUGGUUCAGACGAUGUCGAAAUAGCGGAAAUAAAGGUCUUUACGAUUUUACUUGGUGGUUCAUUUUCAAAUACUUCUGCUAGGCGCUUUUUGUUUCUUAGCUCCUGUCUGUAAGUCAAGAUUUUGGGCUGGCAAGUACUCGAAGUACUAGGUUCUGAAUCCGCAUAUUGUUCUGUACUUGUACUGCCAGCAAUCAAACAUGUGGUCCCCAUGUUGUUGCGAGAAUUUUUUUUCCAAAUACAUCUUAUGUACCUUUUUAAACAGAGUUUUGUUGCUUUUGCAGUUUCUGAACAUUUUCAUUGUUUUAGAAAGAAAACUACUGAUUAUAUUCAUGAGACAUUGCUCGUCGGUAGAUGUUAAUGACGGUUUGAAACUGUUUCCCAUUUCUCUUUUUACUAUUUUAAGUAAUUCAGAGAAAGGAAAGUCUUCCGGUGAUCCUAAUUUUCGUAUUUUUUUACUUUCUUCCGAAAAGCACUCGUAUAAAUGUAGUCUAGUGCAUCCUCUUUGCAUACUUGCGGCUACUUCCAGAGGCUGAGAAGUACCGGCUGUGGCGUCGUCCACAGCUACGCUUGCCACUCGUGUACCAACAUGAGGGUUGGCGCCCUCAUGCCCCUCUAGCAUUAAGUCCUCCGGUCGAGGCCCGGACGGACAUCCCUCAGCAGGUUGGGUAAGCCCCUGCUGAGGCAAAGCGGCGCCAUGGGUCUGUAACGGCUCCAUGGUGCCUCACCCCCGUUCCUCCAAGUUGCGUGUCUUAGCACGGGGUUUAGCUAAAGCCUAACGAGGGUGGACCCCUUCCCGUGCUACACACAACCUUUCAUUGAAAAAAUAUCUUUUAAACGCUAAUUAAAAUUAAUUUGACGCUAUAAAUUCGAGCAAUAAAAAAUAUUACAUUAGAGGAGUAACUAUUUUAUUUAUUUAUUAUUAUGAGACAGACAGACAAUGGAGGCAUAAUAUUAGCAUCCUUUGGCCAUGGAACCCUAAAGAAGGUGGAAUUACGUAAGGUCAAUUUUUGUGUCAACCCUAACAUUUUGGAAAAAAAUACUUUUUCUCGAAAUUGCCGCCGAGUUAGAAUAUAGAAAAAUUAUAGGUGAUAGAGCUUUUUUUAAAAAAUGUAUCUGACCUAAACAGAGAUUCUACUUCGGCGUAGAAAAAAAAAAUAAUAAUUCCUGAAAUUUAAAAAAAAUAUAUAUUCUGUCGUUCCUAUAACUACUUUUGAAUAAUUAUAGGUGCAAUAAUAUUCGCCAUACACCAACCUACCUGCAAUGCAAAGAGAAGCUUAGUGUGUACUUUUCUCGAAAUAAUAAUAAAAUUCUAGUUUGUCCCAGUAAAAGGUCAAUUUUCUAAAAUAUUAAAAAAAAACUAUAGCCAAUUGUCACCUGGGUGUUUUAGUCUAACAUUAAUAAUAAGUUAAACUUUGGAUAUCUAUAUAAAAAGAAAGUCGUGUUAGUUACUCCACUUAUAACUCAAGAACGGCUGAACCGAUUUAGCUGAAAAUUGUCAGGGAGGUAGUUUAGAGCCAGGAGAAGGACAUAGGAUACUUUUUAUCCCGUUCGAAAUAAAAAAAAGUCUGCUUAUUUAUUGUCAUUAAGGCGGAACAAAGUUCGCCGGGUCAGCUAGUUAGUGAUAAAAACAGAAUGUCACUUUUUGGGGUAAAAAAAAAAACACUGUGCUUAGGGGACAGGCUGAAAGAUCCCUUUAAAAUUAUAUUAGAGGAUCAACUGCAAAUGGUAAAUCACGUCAUAAUUAUGUAACAUUAGAAUAUUAAUAAUUAUAAAAAUAUUAUGUUUGCAGAGGCGUAGUGAACACUUCAUAGUUCGAUAUCAUUUUAAUUGCACUACUAUUGUCCACAAACAACACAACACUGCAUUCAUUGAAUUCACUGGCGAGUCCUCGGAUGUACAGGAGCUCAGCAGCGCAUAGUGCUGCGGCGACAUACUCCGCCUCGGCAGUUGACAAGGCGACAGCAGGUUGCUUCUUGGAUGCCCACGAGAUGAGGUUGUUCCCAUGGAACACUGCCAUGCCACUCGUGCUCUUUCGAUCGGACUUGUCUCCUGCCCAAUCUGCAUCUGAAAAAGCUGAAAUAUUAUUGACAUCAUUUCUGGUAUAAGUCAGUUUAAGAUCCUUGGUGCCUUUUAAGUAUUUGAGCACUCUCUUUGCUGCUCUCCACAGUUCUUCAGUGUGUUUAUCCAAGUAUCUACUGAGAUAACUUGUGGCAUAGAUUAUAUCGGGCCGUGUCAUCAUUGACAGGUAAGUAAGUCCUCCAAUUAAUUCUCUAUAAGGUACUGUAUUAAUAAUCUUGUUUUCUGUUUCAGGUUGGAAGUUACUUGUCAUUGGUGUAGAAACUGCAUUACAAUCAGCCAUAUGAAAAUUUUGUAACAAUUUGUCAAUAAACUUUUCUUGUGAUAAUGUUAA
Molecule: long non-coding RNA, 3324 nt
Organism: Ostrinia nubilalis (European corn borer)
Lineage: Eukaryota; Metazoa; Arthropoda; Insecta; Lepidoptera; Crambidae
Exons: 2
Source: RefSeq, a predicted model, not a curated record